Molecule: long non-coding RNA, 6379 nt
Organism: Manis pentadactyla (Chinese pangolin)
Lineage: Eukaryota; Metazoa; Chordata; Mammalia; Pholidota; Manidae
Exons: 4
Source: RefSeq, a predicted model, not a curated record
CUUCAGACUUAAAACCAGGUUCCUGGAUCCUCUUCUCUCUCUAGCCUCCUGCAUGCUCUGCAAUGGUUGUCAGCUUUGGGUGCAUAUUGAGAUCUCUGGAAGAGCUGAUAAAACGCUGAUGCCUGGCUCCCACUUCAGACAUUCAGAGGCAGAAUGGCAAUCAACACAUUCCUAGAGAGUAUUAAUGGCAACAUGAAUAGUAUUUCCAGGUUGUGCAGAAGUCCUACCUUAAGCUGAUGAUUGGCAUUUGGCAUUUCAAGCCAUCCUGAGGAUUUAGGGACAUCUCUGAAGGUUCCUCCUGCUCUGAACACUACUUCCUGGGAAACCUGCACACUUACGAUCGGCACAGAUGUUUGGUUCAGCAAAUUCCAGGAGUGAACAGCCCUGAUUAUUAGAGCCAUCAGCUCUCCCUGUGACAGCAGUAAGACUAGAACAAAUGAAAUGCCUAAUGAGAAAUAAUCCUGCAGUAUUUGAGGGCUAAGAAACCAAGGCUUAGAAGUCUUAAGUACAAUGAGCUCAAGAUCACACAACAGCCAAGCUAUAAAGCCAAGUUUUUAUUUGGGACUGUAUUCCCAAGCUUUCACACCUGGCCCCUCUACCACGCUGCCUCACCACCUCCUGGAAUUUGAAGCGCCGGCGCUGACCCGGAGCUGACGGCCCUGGUUCAGAGGAGCGAGAAGACCCACGUCCUUCCCAGUCACUUCAGCUGUGACGCAGAAGCCACACGGGUGAGACAGAAUGCACGAGGGGGAGGCCCAGAUACUGGCCUUCCUACCGGCUUCCCACCUGACAACAGAAUUCAGGGCUGUGGCAGCUCAUAUGUAAGUAAAAUUAAGCCAGGUAACCCUCUUUUCCUUCAGGUUCACCGUCUGUAAAGUGGCAACCCAGAGGGGAAGAUAUGCCUUGCUAUUGAAAAAAUAAAAGAUUCAGACUAAUAUGAAUUUUCACAACAGAAAAAUGGGGCUUUGAGCCUUCAGAAGACCGUCUGUACUAACAAAGAUCAUCCGAGGCUGUCUAUAAGGGUGCGUGUGUGUGUGUGUGUGUGUGUGUGUGUGUGUGUGUGUGUGCCUGCCUGUGUGCACAUGCACACACACGCAAUUUCUGAUAUUUGACUAGCAACUUUCAGAAAAGCACCAGUUACCAGAUGUGCCUUCAUUUUGCACUGCAUGUAUUAGCUCUUCUCUAGUUCAGAGAUUUUGCCAUACUUUCUGGUAAAAGAGGAGGAGUCUCGGGAUGAUUUUGUGGGUUAUGUCACAGAGGGGCUCCAGGAAAGAAUAUAAGUUUUCUGUAGAUUUCUUAGUCACAAAAGAAGUCUUAUUUCCUUCUUCCCCAAGUUCCAUGCUCAGGGAGGGUCGUGCAUGUAGGGGAGAGAGUCAGGCCCAGCGUGGUGGACAUUGUUGCAAGAAGAGUCUAGCCAUGUGGACUAUUAAUAAAAUUGCAUGUUUAUAGAAAAUUAGGCAACUUAAAAGCCGAGCUAUGUUUUCUUUUCAAACACCUUCUUGGUUGUUUAGAAUAGAAUUGUUAAGUGUGUGAGUUGAUUCUUUAGUCUCCAGUGUUCACAGCUCCCACUCACGUCUUUGAAAAUUCUUUUAUGACAUGUACUUACAGUAGUCAAAUUGCAAAAGUUGAAUGAUGUACAUUAAGAAAAAAUGGACCCCUGUGGCUGUUUGUGCUUUUGUCAUCCUGUCAGGAGUCAGGAAUCCUGGAGGGAGGGACCUGCAUUGCUCAUGUAGUCCUGAGCUUGCAGAAAUAAUACAUGGCACAGAGUGUUAGAUAUCAUAAAGCACCCCCCUUAAUGCGAUCUGCAGAACAGCCCCCCACCCUGCCUUGCAGUGCUUCCCACACACACCUGCAACUGCCAUGGCCCUGUGUCCCUUUACCUGUGUGGUAGCACUGUGGAGGCCCGUGUAAUUGCACUGUGACCUCUACCUCUCAUUGCUCUCUUCCCCUGACCUCAUCCCACCCCCAGGCCAGUGUUUUUGGAACCGCAGAGCUGCUAGCAGAGAGGAACAGACCUGAACAGCCAGGACCUGUCCAGACCUCCUGUGCGGUCUGAGAAGUAUCCAUAGGGAAAAUUUGGCCUCACAGCCUCCGUGGUAAACUUACGCAACAGAGCAGGGAAGCACCACAGUGAGGGACCCAGAGGAAAACGGCAAUUUGUGAAAGUGGAAAGAUAUCCAGGUGUAGACUUCCCACAUUUAAAGAUAUUCAGUGAUGCAGUUAUAAGCAUCGUGUCUCAAUCUGUAGAUGCUGAAGAUCCAAGUGGGCAGAAUGUGUGAAUUCAAGGUCUUGUGCAACCUGCAUCCAAGCCCCAUCGAGUUAUCUGGCUUUAGCAUUCAGUGCAGCGAGCUCUGCUGGGAGGAAGGAACGACUGGGAAUGGAAUUGGGAAGCAAUAGAUUUGAGUUAGGUUUUUCCACUUACUAAGUCUGGGCAGCUCACAUCCCCUUCUGACCCUCAAUGUCCACAUAAGGAAAAUGGGUGUUUUAAUGUUUCUUUUACUGGCCUGCUGUGAGGCACAAAUAAAAUCAAGUGGAAAUUACUUUGUAAGCUAUAAACUAGCUUGUUCUGUUUAAAACCUCUCUCUUUUCCAAAGAGGCUUAGAUGUCUUGUUAAUAAUUGGUGUCAUUAAAAACCAGUUCAUUGUUAAUAUUUUCCAUUGACCUGUAUUAACGUAAUAAUGCAGAAUUGCUUUAUGUAUAAUGAAAAAAAUGAACCUACUUGAAGUAGCUGUAAGAUUUUGAACCUAUGGUGCGACUUCAGACAGCUGACCACGGAGAGGGUUAGCUGAAGCUGAGCUCUCUUCCUAUCACAAUCAGAGUUAAGCCUUUUUGUCUGUAAAACAGCUGAUUUCUUCACAUGAAUGCUAAUUUCUCUUAGACCAAGACAACUAGUUCUCCACCAGUCAUGAUUUAAAUGUAGCACAAAAUAUAGCACAUGGCGUGAGUAAUAUGCUAACAUAAAAUGUCCUCUGCUGCACAGGUAUGCAUGCUAUAAAUUCAGUUGCAAUAUUUCUAGGCACUGCUGCUCUGUGAUCACGGCCUUCUCUCCAUUCAUUCUCUCCCUCAUUAGCAUUUGUUUUCUUUCUUCUGCUAUUCCUCCCUGGCCCUUCCCCUGCCUUUUUGUCUUCCUAAGACCAAUAAAUACAAUUGAUCACAUUCAAUUAGACAGACUGCUUUAGUCAGUGUAUCACACCAAACUAAUACACUUUGGUUGAACCCCUUGCUCUUGAAAUACUCAUCUCCAAAAAGGAGCGGCUUUAAUGAUGGGCCUGGAAUAUACCAUUAGGCCAUGUACUGUAGAGGGAGAGGUACAUACUGGCACAUUUGGGAAAAAAGCAAAUACCAUAUUAAGAAAAAAAUGAGGCAAUUGCUGUUUUCCAUCCAAUACACUCUGAGUUGAACUAGAAAGGACAGGACGACUGUUUGACAUACGAGAAACAUGUCCAGGUAACCUAGCAAACAAGACGUGCUGGAGUUAUAAACUGGUUCAGUGGCCUUUGAUGAGAAUUAAAAUGCUACACAUCGCUCUAAUUGAAUAUUUUUCAUUUUGUCUUCUUAGUCUGAUAAAUCUGUGAGAACACAGAGGUAUUAUGUAACUUACAUCUUUACCCUUAUUACUAUUGUGACUCUCUGAGUUUCCCCAUUAAUUUUCUCCACAUGCUCAAGUUGUCAGAGUAUGAAUAAGAGAAAUGUCUUAAUGAUAUGAUUUAUUGUCACAGCACAGAAUGUUCAGAAGUAGAUAGCAAAGACCUUUUAUAUUUUUUUCUGUUUUCAUGACCAAGCUUUCAGAAAAAUAAAUGUGAACAACUGAAAUUACUUUUCCUAGGACUAGGAAACCUCAGUUGUCAUUUAGUUGCUUCUACCUUUCUACCUUUGAAAUAAUAUAUAUGCCAUCUGUCCUCCAAAAAUACAGAACUGGAGCACAAAUUUGAUUGUUAUAUUGCUUGGGACCCAGUCUCAACAUCUAAGGGUUUUUCAUAUUCUUGUCAUAUCCUUGAAUUCAAUUAAAAAAAUGGAAUCAUCACUCUUAAAAAGAAACAUAGUAGAAUCUUCACUUUGGUUGUUAGUUUACCUUUUUGCUCCUGCAAAAACUGCCAUGAAGUAUAUUAUCAAGUAGAUUAUAGUUUGGGGAUCCUUUCUAAUCUCCAUUUCCCAUUAAUAGCAUACAUAUACACUUUAGUAGAAAACAUUUAUUCACUUUGACUUAAAAUAAAAGCAGAUUCCAUUAUUUAUGGUGAAUUGUUUUUGACCUGACUAAUGGAAGUAUAUAUAGUAUAUAUAUCAUCAGCUAAUAUAGACAAGUGUUAACAGAAAUAUUAAGUUCAUAAAGAAUAUUUCAUUAUAUCUGUACAUAGUCCUUUAUUUAAUAUGGAAAUCUGUGUUCUUUUGUCAGGUUGGUCAUAUAGCAUAUAUUGAACAAAUAAAAUGAUUGAUACUUAGAGUUUUAGAUAUAUUUUCCUAGUGAAGAUUGCUUAUAUCCUCGAGGCUAGGAACUGUGCCUUAAUCAUUCGUAUUUAUCUGGGACCUGGAAAAAUACCUAGCUCAAUUAGUUUCCAGUAACUGCUGAAGGGUGACAUGGGCUCUGCUUGACCUCUCAUCCUCCCCUGCCCUUCUGCUCCAGCCUCUGUCCUCUUCCUGAUCUCUAGGAAACCUGUGAUUGGACCUCUCUAGCAUUCCUCUUGUCCUCUCCCAGCACCUCCCACAGCCCAUUUGCUGCUGGCUCAAACUUGCCUCAGGGGUCUGAAACGGCCCACGCCUGCCUGGCCCUGGCUGUCUGUCCUGACUCUGAGUCACCAGCAGCUCCACUCUGGGAAUGAGGCUGGUGCUGCUAUGCCUGGAGAAGCAGCAGCAUGUCUGAGAAACCAGGGUCCCAAGAAUCUUUGCUCAUGGAAGUUCUGUGGCUUGUAGGGCUGCACACUGAAGAUCUUGCAUUCAGUCUUAGCUGAGCAUCCCCCACACAGAGAACAGCACACCUCAUUAAAGGGCAACCCAUUAUUCAGAGAAAUUCUUCAUACACUGACAAGGUUAUAAAGCAUCUUGUGUUAUGUGAAAAGUGUUUAUGAGCUCCACAAAGGCCACAUCUACUUCCUUCUCAGAUCAGACUCUGCUGUUCAGAUGCUCCUUGUGUCUGGCAGAUCAGUUCUCAAAUUUUCAUCGCAUCAAAAUUAACUUUAAAACACUUACAUUCACCUUUCCUUCACCUUUUUAAUCUCUUCAGGCCCUCAACCCACUGAAUGAUGUCCAUCCACACUGGCGAAGUUGAUCUUUUCUCAGUCUAUGAAUCCAAAUGCUAAUCUCUUCCUGAGACACCCUCAGAGACACACCCAGAAAUGUUUAACCAGCUGUCUGAUACCCCUUAGCCUAAUCAAGCUGACACAUACCACCUAAAAGUCUGUGACUCCCAGAUUUAUAGCUUUGGUCCAGACCUCCUUUCUGAGUCUCAAACUUUCAUUCUAUUUCCCCGACCAUCAUCUCUGUUUACAUAUUCCAUGCUGAUGACCCCAAACAGAGUUCAGCAUCCUCUGCAAACACCCUAUGCAUUGCCUUCAUGAAUCUUCUUCUGAAUUUUUUUGUCUUAUAAAUGACAUGCUCUUAACUCAGCUGUCCAAGUCAAGAUGACUGUAUCAUCCCAGGUCACUCUUUUUCCUUUAAAGACCACAUCUUGUUAAUCCCUGUGUUCCACCAACCAUGCUUCCUAAAUAAUUCUCAUUUUAGGCCCCCAUCUCUCUUACCACCAUCACCCAUACAGUGCAUGACCUUGGAUCAUUUGCCCCUCGGUCAUAAUAGACCAUUUUCUGAUUGCCCCACUUUUAGGCUUUCCUCACUACCCAGCAUAAACUGCUGAAGUAACAUUUCUAGCAUGAAAAUGUGAUCCCUCCCUCUACAACUCAAAAUUCUGCAGUGGCUUCUAAUUGUCUUCAGAUAAAAUCAGGAGUAUUUUGCUUGACAACAUCUCUCAUGAUCAGGCCCUGUCCUACCUCUACUUUUUGUCUUGUAUCUUCAGCUCCUCUCCCCACUUAGCACUUUGUGUUCUGGGAAUAUUGAGCUAUUUUUAGUUUCCCCUGAACACUCAUGGUCUGCAUACUGCCCGAUCUGGGCAAUGCUGUUUCUUGCCUGCCAUGUCCUUCACAUUUGUCUGCCCAUUUUUCAAGGCUGUUAGACAAUACCUUUAUGUGGCACUUACCUUUUUUCCCCCCACUAGAAUCACAUGCUUCCAUUGUACUUAUUUCUUCAUAAAUGGAAGGAUCACAUUUAUCUCUAUUAGGUUGUAACCUUCUUAUAGGCAAGAUUUUGUGUUUCCACCAAUGUAUUUGCAUCACGUUACAAGUGUCUAAUGCAUAGUCAGAACCCAAUAAAUAUUUUUUAAAGCAACGAAUAA